Long non-coding RNA from Scylla paramamosain (green mud crab), 3132 nucleotides. RefSeq lists it as uncharacterized. Lineage: Eukaryota; Metazoa; Arthropoda; Malacostraca; Decapoda; Portunidae. The transcript is spliced from 5 exons. The record is from RefSeq and is a predicted model, not a curated record.
AGUUAUUUAUACUCAAGGAACGUAUGUUAGAAUCCUUAGUUACUCUUACGAUGAGUUGCAAUCCUGCCAUCAUACAAGGCGGUCACUCCUCUCCCAUUCAGCCUAGGAUUCUUCAGGCGGACGUUCCACCCAAGAUUCCAGCAAAGUACUGUACAUCUAAAAUCACCAGCUUGUCUGUCUGCAUGCCUAACCACAAGUACCACUGCAUCACCACCACUUUAUCUGCCUGACCACCAACACCACUAUCGCAUCACCAGUUUGCCCGCCUGCCUCGCCAUUCUCCACACGUGCUGGUCUAGGGUUCGUGGGUGUCGCGGCGUCGUGUCUUCAGUCUUCUUGUCAACCAACCCAGUGACUUGGGGAAGGGAGUGUGCAGCCGAGAGAGGCCAGCUCUUUUGGUUCUGCUGUGGCUUCAAGGGAAGUAUGCAGUGUAGCCAACUUGUGGUGCAGCGAAGAGUGGUCCUUUCCCUCAGGCCUGGAAGCAAACAUGUGCCAUGAAGCAAAGGAGCCGAGAUGCUGCUCCCCCUUGAAGUAAGACAGGUACCACCCACCACCACCAGCCUGUAAGGGCAAGCAGAACAAGCACUUGGCACACUGCAGGGUGGUGAGGGAGGGCGGCACCAACUACUCCACCACACUACUGACCCUUCCUGGUGACGACGGGCAGAGCUGCCAGCUUAUUAUAAUAUGGCAUAAGGAGCUGGUGUGUUGUUGGCUGCAGCAAAUAUUUGGUGCUUGUUGUAGCAACCUAUUUGGCCAUUCUUGAUCUCCAAGAUGUCAGCUACAAGCUCUUCCAGAGGAUCGAGGGACAGGGGAGUUGGACCACCACCUACAAAAUAAUCUGUAAUGAAAGUUAAACAAGUCUAAGUUAAUUUCAUUACAUUUAGGAAUUAAUGACCAUACCAGCUUUGCUAAUACAAUGUGGUUUAGCACCUACCAUGUAAUGUACAUGAGACUAAAGUACUGCUAUUUUAUUAUAGUUCACUCAAGACAAGGAGUGCAUUUCCUUCAUAGGCACAUUGGCAUGGGUUUUUCAACCCAAAUACAUGAAAAUUUUGUGUUAAUGUUACUGAAGAAAUGUACUGGAGUUAAAAGAAAAAGACAAGUUGCUACUACCCCCUAAAAUAGAAGCUAACUUGCAAAAUAUGCAAAUGACACCUGCAGUUCCCUUUCAGAUAUGUAUUACCUCAGCUCUCAUUUCUUUGCUAGAGUUUGCUCUGUCUUUUUCACCUGAUACUGAAAGUGAUUUAUUCUGAUGUAUGUGUCUAAAGGUGAAAAAGUGCCCCAGUUGAGUUAGAUACCCAAGCUUUAUGAAUUUCUAAUUGAAUGAAAGUGAAAUUGUCCUUAUCUGUUCCAUGCAUAGCCUCCUUAUAUCUCAUAAUAUUAGGCUUUGCAUCUGUGAAUUAAUUGCCAGUGCUUCUGGCAGUCCACCUCAAUGUGGAAGAUGGAGGGAGAGGCCUCGCUGAGCUGGGAAGCAAUGGCAGUCCGUGCAUCCUGUUUCCUUCUGUGUUAUCCCAGGCUUAGUAGAAAAGGAUGCAGUCAGCAAGCUGACAUGUUCUUGGUACAACUGUAGCAAGGCUUGGUACAACUGUAGCAAGGACAUCAUCUCUUCUGCAGUCCAGUUUGGCUUCCUCAUCCUCUUGGCAGGGUCUUCUGUCAGCAGGGUCUUGGGCUUAGCCAUGCUGCUUUGUUUACAAUGGAGAGUGGAGACACAAUAUGGUGCAUCCCAUAGUUAAUGCACAUGGUGCAUCCGUAGUUAAUGCACAUGGUAAAUAAGUACGUCCUACAGUCAUCCUCUUCUGAUACAAUGGUACAAAUAUCAUAUUUCAUAAAUAUAACUAGUUUUCUAAAACUUUUCCAUUAUAUUUUGUCAUCAAACAAUAUUGAUUUUAGAUGUGCUAACUGCUAGAUGUAGCAGUCUGCUAGGAAGCUUGCCUGAGAUUUUUAUGGAGCUAGGUGCUGCCUUCGAACAAAAUCUCGAGUUUUUUUUCCUAGUUCAGUACAUCUUUGGGUUUGAAUCUGAGCACUCUUAUAAAUAUGAGCCCUGAUUGGCAGAAAAUCUCAAUUUAUUGCUAUGGUCAAGGAGAAAGCUCCACACACACUGUUUUACAUCGCCAAGCUCUGGCAUCCAAAACAUUGCCAAAGAAACUUAGAAGUGAUUGGAAUAGUUAUGCAAACAGUCAACUCUAUUUGCGGAUGUGCAGUGAAUCAUUGGCUAUUUAAAAAAUUCUGUGAUGAGAGUGGAGUGGAACACGGCAUAUUACUGUACCACAGAGGUAUGUCGGCUGAGUCAUGGCAGUGUUUUCGUACAUGUUGUGGAACUUCAGGAUCAAAUUUUUGAAUUCCUCAAGGAUCAACAAUCCCCUCCAUAAUAAAUCCCUUUGAAGAUGAACAUUUUAAGGUUAUAGUCUGGGAUAUUUGGGUGAUAUUUUCAGUUUCCUCAAGGAUUUGAACAUAUCAAUGCAGGGAAGGGACAUGAUUCGAGCCAGGGAAAAAAGUUAUCUUGUAAAUAUUUACAAGGAAGUUACCUAUCUUGAGUCGCCGUGUUGAAAGUGGAAACCUUGCAAACUUUACAAUCCUUGACAAUAUAUCCUUACUGGAGAUUCCAAAACCCAAGAAAAAGCUGAUUUUGAGAGGGCUGUGGUGGAUGUCAAGCAGUUUUGGUGAGAGCAAAUAGCAGUUUACCCAAGCUUGACAAUGAUGGCAAUGAAUGUUUUGGUUCCCUUCACAACUACAUACCUCUGUGAAACAGGAUUCUCUAUUACUUCUAAAUCUGAAAUAAAAGUGUAAGUUGUUGAUGUGUCAGAUGACAUGCAAGUAGCUUUGUCAAUAAUUGUACCCAGAUUCCACAAAAGCUGCAGCAAAUAUCUCACUAGAUUAGUAAGAGUGUAUUAUGUAACUGAAAUAAAAAAAACAAAGCCUUCUUUUGUAGUAAUAAAAUUAAUCUAAGUAGUAAAGUUGCCGAUUUAUAAUCUGAAACAGGUGAAAAAGUUGUAUCAUAAAAUAGUUGUAGCUGUUUGCAUGUGAAAAAGUUGUAUUGUAAAAUAGUUGUAGCUGUUUGCAUAUUUGUCAUUUCUCAUUUUUUAUUUUGCUUUUAUGUGUAAGUAAAUAUGAUAAAGUGAUCAAAGCUUA